CAGCACGGGAGCAAUCCUGGUGGCGAGUGGCGAACGGGUGAGUAAUACAUCGGAACGUGUCCUGGAGUGGGGGAUAGCCCGGCGAAAGCCGGAUUAAUACCGCAUACGCUCUAUGGAGGAAAGCGGGGGAUCUUUCGGGACCUCGCGCUCAAGGGGCGGCCGAUGGCAGAUUAGCUAGUUGGUGGGGUAAAGGCCUACCAAGGCGACGAUCUGUAGCUGGUCUGAGAGGACGACCAGCCACACUGGGACUGAGACACGGCCCAGACUCCUACGGGAGGCAGCAGUGGGGAAUUUUGGACAAUGGGCGCAAGCCUGAUCCAGCAAUGCCGCGUGUGUGAAGAAGGCCUUCGGGUUGUAAAGCACUUUUGUCCGGAAAGAAAACCUCCUGGUUAAUACCCGGGGGGGAUGACGGUACCGGAA
RNAcentral lists this ribosomal RNA (420 nucleotides) under bacterium Ellin5098. Its description in RNAcentral is "bacterial SSU rRNA". It matches the Rfam family "Bacterial small subunit ribosomal RNA", at positions 70 to 483 of the family's 1533-position model. The record is from RNAcentral. Lineage: Bacteria; Pseudomonadati; Pseudomonadota; Betaproteobacteria; Burkholderiales; Burkholderiaceae.